ACUGCAGUCGAGCGGAAGAAGGGAGCUUGCUCCCGGAUGUUAGCGGCGGACGGGUGAGUAACACGUGGGUAACCUGCCUGUAAGACUGGGAUAACUCCGGGAAACCGGAGCUAAUACCGGAUAGUUCCUUGAACCGCAUGGUUCAAGGAUGAAAGACGGUUUCGGCUGUCACUUACAGAUGGACCCGCGGCGCAUUAGCUAGUUGGUGGGGUAAUGGCUCACCAAGGCGACGAUGCGUAGCCGACCUGAGAGGGUGAUCGGCCACACUGGGACUGAGACACGGCCCAGACUCCUACGGGAGGCAGCAGUAGGGAAUCUUCCGCAAUGGACGAAAGUCUGACGGAGCAACGCCCCGUGAGUGAUGAAGGUUUUCGGAUCGUAAAGCUCUGUUGUUAGGGAAGAACAAGUGCGAGAGUAACUGCUCGCACCUUGACGGUACCUAACCAGAAAGCCACGGCUAACUACGUGCCAGCAGCCGCGGUAAUACGUAAGUGGCAAGCGUUGUCCCGAAAUAUUGGGCGGAAAGGGCUCGCAAGCGGGUUCUUAAAUCCGAAGUGAAAACCCCCGGGUCAACCGGGGAGGGGCAUUGGAAACUGGGGAACUUGAGUGCACAAAAAGAAAGUGGAAAUCCCCCGGGGCGGGGUAAUUGUUUAUAUUUUGU
RNAcentral lists this ribosomal RNA (661 nucleotides) under Bacillus sp. (in: firmicutes). RNAcentral's name for it is "bacterial SSU rRNA". It matches the Rfam family "Bacterial small subunit ribosomal RNA", at positions 53 to 700 of the family's 1533-position model. The record is from RNAcentral. Lineage: Bacteria; Bacillati; Bacillota; Bacilli; Caryophanales; Bacillaceae.